GAUGAACGCUGGCGGCGUGCCUAAUACAUGCAAGUCGAGCGAAUGGAUUAAGAGCUUGCUCUUAUGAAGUUAGCGGCGGACGGGUGAGUAACACGUGGGUAACCUGCCCAUAAGACUGGGAUAACUCCGGGAAACCGGGGCUAAUACCGGAUAACAUUUUGAACCGCAUGGUUCGAAAUUGAAAGGCGGCUUCGGCUGUCACUUAUGGAUGGACCCGCGUCGCAUUAGCUAGUUGGUGAGGUAACGGCUCACCAAGGCAACGAUGCGUAGCCGACCUGAGAGGGUGAUCGGCCACACUGGGACUGAGACACUGCCCAGACGCCUACGGGAGGCAGCAGUAGGGAAUCUUCCGCAAUGGACGAAAGUCUGACGGAGCAACGCCGCGUGAGUGAUGAAGGCUUUCGGGUCGUAAAACUCUGUUGUUAGGGAAGAACAAGUGCUAGUUGAAUAAGCUGGCACCUUGACGGUACCUAACCAGAAAGCCACGGCUGACUACGUGCCAGCCGCCGCGGUAA
Molecule: ribosomal RNA, 515 nt
Filed under: uncultured bacterium
Lineage: Bacteria
Description: partial 16S ribosomal RNA
Rfam family: Bacterial small subunit ribosomal RNA
Source: RNAcentral